GACGAACCGUGCGAACGUUGUUCGGAAUCACUGGGCUUAAAGGGCGCGUAGGCGGGCGGUCAAGUCAGAGGUGAAAUCCCACGGCUCAACCGUGGAAGUGCCCCUGAUACUGAUCGCCUCGAGGAAGGUAGGGGCGUGCGGAACUUCCGGUGGAGCGGUGAAAUGCGUAGAUAUCGGAAGGAACACCGAUGGCGAAAGCAGCGCGCUGGACCUUUACUGACGCUGAGGCGCGAAAGCCAGGGGAGCAAACGGG
RNAcentral lists this ribosomal RNA (253 nucleotides) under uncultured bacterium. RNAcentral's name for it is "partial 16S ribosomal RNA". It matches the Rfam family "Bacterial small subunit ribosomal RNA", at positions 524 to 776 of the family's 1533-position model. The record is from RNAcentral.